AAGGCCCCCUUGUGGGGUACUCGAGUGGCGAACGGGUGAGUAACACGUGAGUAACCUACCCUUGACUUUGGGAUAACUUCAGGAAACUGGGUCUAAUACCGGAUAGGAGCCAUCUUUAGUGUGGUGGUUGGAAAGUUUUUUCGGUGUAGGAUGAGCUCGCGGCCUAUCAGCUUGUUGGUGGGGUAAUGGCCUACCAAGGCGGCGACGGGUAGCCGGCCUGAGAGGGUGUACGGCCACAUUGGGACUGAGAUACGGCCCAG
This 260-nucleotide ribosomal RNA is filed under the name uncultured Actinomycetales bacterium. RNAcentral describes it as "partial 16S ribosomal RNA". It matches the Rfam family "Bacterial small subunit ribosomal RNA", at positions 70 to 334 of the family's 1533-position model. Lineage: Bacteria; Bacillati; Actinomycetota; Actinomycetes; Actinomycetales. The record is from RNAcentral.